UGGGAAGAUGAUGAAGAUGAAGAUGUUGUUAUUGUUGAUGAAGAGGAAGAAGGUGCGGCAGUACAAGGGACCAGCAUUUCAUGGGGUUCAAUUAAGGGAACAUCAUCAAUGCAAAAGCCAUAAUUCAUCGGCUCCAUUGUCUCAAAUGUGCUUGUCAUUCUUUUUUCUUCCUCUACUUUUGUCUCUUCAGUAGUGCUUGGUUGCAC
RNAcentral lists this unclassified non-coding RNA (206 nucleotides) under Hevea brasiliensis (rubber tree). Lineage: Eukaryota; Viridiplantae; Streptophyta; Magnoliopsida; Malpighiales; Euphorbiaceae. The record is from RNAcentral.